GGAGACUUACCCAAGUGGUUAAGGGGGCAUCCUGCUAAGAUGUUAGGUGGUUAAAAGCUGCGCGGGGGUUCGAAUCCCCCAGUUUCCG
Molecule: transfer RNA, 88 nt
Filed under: Mycoplasma parvum str. Indiana
Lineage: Bacteria; Bacillati; Mycoplasmatota; Mollicutes; Mycoplasmatales; Mycoplasmataceae
Rfam family: tRNA
About the family: Transfer RNA (tRNA) molecules are approximately 80 nucleotides in length.
Source: Rfam by way of RNAcentral